CUUCCCACCAGGAAUAAUUAGACACAUGGGGGAAAGAAGAGUAUGUGUGGUGGUGCAUCAUUCAUACGAAGGGGUCCCCAUUCUGUGACACAAGCACAAGAAGACGAAGAAGAGGCCACGCCAUCUGUCAUUAAGAAACA
Caenorhabditis elegans is the source of this 140-nucleotide non-coding RNA. The record is from Ensembl. Lineage: Eukaryota; Metazoa; Nematoda; Chromadorea; Rhabditida; Rhabditidae.